RNAcentral lists this ribosomal RNA (472 nucleotides) under uncultured bacterium. RNAcentral describes it as "SSU rRNA". It matches the Rfam family "Bacterial small subunit ribosomal RNA", at positions 26 to 518 of the family's 1533-position model. The record is from RNAcentral.
AGGAUCAACGCUGGCGGCGUGCAUGAGACAUGCAAGUCGAACGGACGAACGGGGCUUGCUCUGUUCGUUAGUGGCGGACGGCUGAGUAACGCGUAGGUGACCUACCCGGAAGUGGGGAAUAACUGCCCGAAAGGGUGGCUAAUACCGCAUGUGGUCGGCGAUUCGGUUCGUCGCCCAAAGCCGUAAGGCGCUUCCGGCGGGGCCUGCGUCCGAUUAGCUAGUUGGUGGGGUAAUGGCUCACCAAGGCGACGAUCGGUAGCUGGUCUGAGAGGAUGAUCAGCCAGACUGGGACUGAGAACGGCCCAGACUCCUACGGGAGGCAGCAGUCGGGAAUUUUGCCCAAUGGACGAAAGUCUGAGGCAGCAACUCCGCGUGAGGGACGAAGGCCUUCGGGUCGUAAACCUCUUUCUCAGGGAAGAUACAAGACGGUACCUGAGGAAUAAGCCACGGCUAACUACGUGCCAGCAGCCGC